This 71-nucleotide transfer RNA is filed under the name human gut metagenome. It matches the Rfam family "tRNA". Rfam says of the family: Transfer RNA (tRNA) molecules are approximately 80 nucleotides in length. The record is from RNAcentral. RNAcentral also lists the same sequence under 1 other name.
GGGGCGUAGCUCAGUUGGGAGAGUGCUUGCUUCGCAUGCAAGAAGUCGAGGGUUCGAAUCCCUUCGUCUCC